Molecule: ribosomal RNA, 447 nt
Filed under: uncultured bacterium
Lineage: Bacteria
Description: partial 16S ribosomal RNA
Rfam family: Bacterial small subunit ribosomal RNA
Source: RNAcentral
AACGAACGCUGGCGGCAGGCUUAACACAUGCAAGUCGAGCGCCCCGCAAGGGGAGCGGCAGACGGGUGAGUAACGCGUGGGAACGUGCCCUUUGGUUCGGAACAACUCCGGGAAACUGGAGCUAAUACCGGAUAAGCCCUUCGGGGGAAAGAUUUAUCGCCAAAGGAUCGGCCCGCGUCUGAUUAGCUAGUUGGUGAGGUAAUGGCUCACCAAGGCGACGAUCAGUAGCUGGUCUGAGAGGAUGAUCGGCCACACUGGGACUGAGACACGGCCCAGACUCCUACGGGAGGCAGCAGUGGGGAAUAUUGGACAAUGGGCGCAAGCCUGAUCCAGCCAUGCCGCGUGAGUGAUGAAGGCCUUAGGGUUGUAAAGCUCUUUUGUCCGGGAAGAUAAUGACUGUACCGGAAGAAUAAGCCCCGGCUAACUUCGUGCCAGCCGCCGCCGUAG